This is an RNA transcript of Eriocheir sinensis (Chinese mitten crab), 13907 nucleotides long. It is a transcript of the gene named 3-hydroxyisobutyryl-CoA hydrolase, mitochondrial-like, with no coding region annotated. The transcript is spliced from 10 exons. The record is from RefSeq and is a predicted model, not a curated record. NCBI's taxonomy places the organism in Eukaryota, Metazoa, Arthropoda, Malacostraca, Decapoda, Varunidae.
AUCUUAGCACAUAUGAAGUUAUGAACGCUGCACAGCUGAUCAAGGACACCGGGUACUCUGAUUGACCAGUGAACUUAUACCCACAUUUACGUAAUUCCAUAAAGGACGAGGCUCUAGACUGCCACAAACAGUCUGUAGUUUCUCCAGAGCCAGAAGCCUCAUUACCAAGGAUGUUGUGCCAUGUAAGGACGUUCAUCAGAGUGCAGAGUGUGCUACGUCCACUCCACUCCCGCACCAUGGCUGCCUCCUUGCCCGUGGCCAUCCUACAGGAGGUGGGAGACAAAGGCGUCAUCACCCUCAACAGGCCGAAGGCUCUCAAUGCUCUUAACCACGACAUGAUACAGCUCAUCCACCCGAGGCUCAAGGAGUGGGAGAGUACUAAAAGCAUGGUCAUCAUCAAAGGUAUGGGAGAGAAGGCAUUCUGUGCCGGGGGAGAUGUGCGUGCCAUUGUUGAAACAGCAGGACAACCAAAUGCCAUAGGAGAAUAUUUCUUCCGGGAUGAAUACAUUCUCAACUGCCUCAUUGGGACCCUCCACAUCCCUUACAUUGCUCUCAUUGAUGGCAUUACCAUGGGUGGUGGUGUGGGUCUCUCAGUGCAUGGACAAUACCGGGUGGCCACGGAGCGUACUGUUUUUGCCAUGCCAGAAACAGGGAUCGGCCUCUUUCCUGAUGUUGGUGGCUCCCACUUCUUGCCCAGGCUUGGAGGACGGCUAGGAAUGUUCCUGGCCCUGACUGGCCAUCGUCUGAAGGGCCGGGAUGUGCUUAAAGCUGGGAUUGCCACCCAUGUGUGUGAUGGGGCAAGGAUUGAAGAACUGGAGGAGUCCCUUCUUAGCCUACAGUCUCCUUAUCCAGAGGAUAUUGCUGCUGUCUUGGAAAAGUUUCAUGAGGAGUCAACUUUCAACAAGGGAGAACCAUUCUCACUUCAGUCAGUGCUUCCCAAGAUUCAGUCCUGCUUCACAGGUGCCAGUGUGGAAGAAAUUUUUGGAAACUUGGAGAAGAAUGGGUCUGAGUGGGCAGAGAAGCAGCUUAAAAUUCUUAAGAAGAUGUCACCAACAUCUCUCAAGGUGACCUUUGAACAGCUGGAGCGUGGAACACACCUUACCUUGCAGGAAUGUCUUGCCAUGGAGUACCGCAUUGUGAAACGCAUCUAUAAGGGGCACGAUUUUAGUGAAGGUAUACGAGCAGUCUUAGUGGACCGGGAUAACAAUCCUCAAUGGAAACCCAAGAACCUGGAAGAGGUCACUACUGAAGUGGUGGAGGAGCACUUUGCACCACUUCCUGAAGAAGAGGAACUUGAGCUAUAAAGAUGUAAAAGACACAUCCUAAAUGCAAGGUCUUGAGCGGACUGCUUCAGCUUUAUACGUUCUGAGCAGCAAGGGGCUGGAUCGUUACGGUGAGCGGCCUGCUCAUUCAGACUCGGGGGCUGGCUGUGGGGAAGUGCACACGCUGGUUACACCACCAGAUGCGGCGGCUCAGUAGCCGGACAAUGUAGGCUCGCGACUUGCCCAGUCCCAUGAUGGUGCCAACUUUGUCCUGUAGCGGGCUUCGCUGCAAACCCAAUCACGACGCGAGGGAUGCGGAGUCUAUGCGCUAGAUCCAUGCUGAUCCUGUAGCACCCUGUAAAUAGUUGUAUAUAUAUCUCGCUAAUAAAUCAGUUGCUGUCAGAAUAUCACCGUGUUUGGUUCUCCCUCUCAUGAACUAAGAAGUUGGACUGCCUGGAGUAACACCUGCUACAUUGGUGACCCCUGAGUGAUGCAAGCUGCUCCCUCGCCUCUUGUCACAAUGGAUACACCCUCCACCAACACUCUCGCAGACCCCAACCCAGCCGCAGCCGCACAAGUCAAGCUACCGACCUUCUCUACGAUCGACGCACAUAUCUGGUUCUGGCAAGGAGAAGUACAAUUCCGCCUCAGAAAUGUGAGCAACCCAACCUCAUGGGCAAACCACGUCUUAGCUGCUCUCCCAGACGAACUUUUUCCACGCGUCUUGGAAUGGUUGGAAGCCAAGGGCGAUGCCGCCAUCAAAUACGACGCCCUGGAAACCUACCUACUUCAGCAUUUUACAUCUUCCCCAGCAGCGUGAGUGUCACGGCUCCUCCAGCUCUCACAACCACCGCUUGGCGAUCAGAAACCUGACACCCUCCUCGAGAUGCGACCCCUGGCAAGGCUCCCUCCAGCCACCGAAGGGACGUUUCGACAUCUAGAUCUGCUGCGGGCACUGUGGCUCCUCCGCCUCCCCGAAUCCAUCUGCGCUGCCAUUCCCAACGCAGAGGAAAUCGAUAAGGAUGACCUGCAGCAACAGGUAGACCGCCUAGUCGACGCACUCACGGCUUCAACCCGCCGCAUCAACGCCGUGCCUUCCGACACCCCACCAUCAUUCCAGGAUGAUGAGGUUGAUGUCGCAGCAGCACACCGCUACCACAGAGAACCUGACAAACACCGGCGCAACAGUACCACGCCCCGUGGCCACGAUCAGACCAGCAAGGGCCCAAAAAGAAGUUCACCGAGCAGCUCUGCUACUACCACGCCAAAUUCGGCCCCAAGGCAACAACCUGCCAACCAGGAUGCUCGUGGCCAAAAAACGGGUAAGGCGGCCGCCGUGCAUCGCGGCUGCCCCCAUCGGUGUUAACGCCUUCUUCCUCUCUGAUCCUGCAACGGGGGUGCGUUUCCUAGUCGACACUGGCGCUGCCCGUUCCCUCCUGCUCGCUGCACGAUGGAAGAAGCCCCGUCAACAGGUGUCCAACAUCCAACUCGCCGUGGCCAACGGCACACCUAUACCAACGUACGGCCGUCGGCACCCCGAUAUCAGAAUCAGCGGCCGCACAUUCGGAUGGAGCUUCAUAGUGGCAGACAUCACUCUUCCCCGCCUUGGGGCAGAUUUUCUAGCCCACUACCAGCUCGUCGUGGACGUCGCCAGAUGUCGGCUGGUGGACGCAGCCUUCCUUACCACCACCCCCAUUGCCGCCGCUCCCACCAAGUUCACCCUACAGGUUGUCGAGGUGACUGACGGCUUCGCUCACCUUCGCAACACCUACCCCGAUGUCUUCAAGCCAGAACUCCGACAACAGCCAAAACAUUCGGCAAAACAUGGAAUCUAUCACCAUAUAAAGACAUCAGGCCCCCCAGUGUUCUCCAAAUUUCAUCGUCUGGCCCCUGACAAGCUCGCCGCAGCAAAACAUACCUUCAUCAAGCUCAGUCAAGCCCCUGGGCGUCACCACUUCACAUCGUUACGAAGAAGGACAGCUCCCUCCGCCCCUGUGGUGACUAUAGGCGCCUCAACGCAAGAACAGAGCCAGACCACUACCCGCUGCUUCACAUAGCCGACAUCACCUUCCUCCACGGCGCCAAAAUCUUCUCAAAAUUAGACCUACUGAAGGGCUACUACCAGGUCCCCAUGCACCCGGAGGACAUCCCAAAGACCGCCAUCACCACGCCCUUUGGUACUUUCACAUUUAAUUACAGCUGUUUUGGCCUCCGAAACUCUGGCGUCACCUUCCAACGGAUGAUGGACGGAAUCCUCGGCGACUUACCUUUCUGUGCCUGCUACAUCGACGACAUCCGCAUAUUUUCUUCAUCAAAAGAACACCUUCGACAUCUCUCAGAAGUACUGGGGUGCCCUCAGGAGAAUGGCCUGGUGGUACGCUACGAUAAGCGUGUAGUCGGCGCCAGAGAGGUGGACUUCUUAGGGCACCAUCUCUCUCCUUCAGGCGUUUCACCCCUACCAGACAAGGUGACUACAAUCUGAAGAUUCCCCACGCCCACCACAGUCAAGGCCCUCCAAGAAUUCGUGGGAAUGGUCAACUUUUCACCGCUUCCUCCCCAGGAUCGCUUCCACCAUGGCGCCACUAUAUGCAGUACUAGCAGGCAAACCCAAGGACCUGACAUGGGGCCCUUCUCAAGCAGACGCUUUCCAGAAAGCAAAAGACCCCCUCGCCGUGGCAACCGUCCUUGCUUUUCCAGUUCCUGGGAAGCCAAUCGUCACCACGGACGCAAGCAACAUCGCCAUUGGCGCUGUUUUGGAACAAAUCACCCAUGGCUAGCCACGCCCUUUGAGUUUCUUCAGCCGCAAACUCCUUAAGGCUGAAAGGCACUACUCCGCCUUCGACAGAGAACUUCUCGCCGUCCACCAAGCCGUCCGCCACUUCCUGGAGGGUGCAACCUUCACCAUCCAGACCGACCACAUGCCCAUGGUUCACGCCUUUACUAGACAGACGGACGCCUGGUCUCCACAACAGCGCCGGCACCUCUCAGCCAUCUCUGAGUUCAACUGCACCUUCAGACACCUUCCAAGCAGGAAGAACCCUGUAGCCGACGCCCUCUCCAGAGUCGAGAUAGACGCAGUUCAACUGGGAUUCAACUACAACCUCCUUGCCCAGGAGCAGCAACGGAACCCCGAGACGACAGCAGCAUGGCCCUAAAGUGGAAGGACGUUCCCCUGGGUGUUUCCGGUACCACCAUCCUCUGCGACGUCAGCAACGGGCGACCACGCCCAUGGAUACCAGCAUCCCUUCGCCGUCACGUUUUCGACCUGGUCCACGACCUGUUACAUCCUUCAGGACGAGCGACAAUACAACUGCUAACUCAAACGUUCGUAUGGCACGGCAUCUCCCACGAUGCGGGGAACUGGGUUCGGUCCUGCUCUUCCUGCCAGAAAUCCAAAGUCCACCGACACACUGAGACUCAGAAAUAAAGUAAUUGAUUACCUUUUCAAUUACGGGUAAGGCAAAAAAAGCUUCACUUAUUAAUUUAUGUACCUAAUAGCCAGCAAAACUAUAAAAUCGAGCCUCUGUAAGGUCCAGUGGUAUCUAACCUAUAGGCUACUCUCCUUUAUUUUUUAUUUUAGGUCUGCUUGAAAACUUAUUCGUUUGAAUAUAUGAUGAUUUACCAUCAUUAUUUACAACAAAAGGAAUUUAAGUUUAAACAAUUAUUGUGGCCCAAGGAUUAGCCCCAGGUCAUACUUUUAAUUAGUACGAAAUUAAUAUUAUUACUUUCUUUUUCUCAGAUUCUCGACCUUUGCUACUUGCUAUGCCACCAAAGCGUGUUCGGUUAAGUGGAAGCGCAUACAAAAAGAUGAGAAAGAAGCGAAAGAUGGAAGAUGAGGAGCUUGCUGGUUCAUUAAACACCUUCAUUGUGAAGACUAAAAAGAGUGAAACUUGUGUUCUAAAUGAAGAUCUCGUGAGUGAAUGUGAAGAUACAGAGGAAAAGGAGUCUAGGGAUUUAUUUGAGGAGUCUGAGUCUGAGCCUGAUAAGGAAGAGAUCAGGAAGUGAUCGGGAGGCUGAGGAGUGUAAGGAAGAACCUAAUUGUGAGGGAAGAGCAGGACUUGAGUAUAUUCAGAGAAGCGACUUUGGAUUGAUUCCAUUUGGCCACUUGACAUCUGAUGUCCGUGAUACUCUUGUUUCUAUUGGAGCUGAAAAAGUUCAGUAUUCAAAAGGGCCCUUUGUUACUGGAAGUAAGGGUAGAAAAAUGACUGAGGCAUAUGGUUCUACAGGAAACUUGCAGAUGGUAAAGGUGAAAUUGUGAAGAGAAUCUGUCUGCUCUACUCACCAGCCAAAGAAGCAACAUACUGUUUUUGCUGUGUUCUGUUUCCACAUACUCCACAGAAUGCAAUUUCCAAGUUCGAGUCACCGGAAGGAUUUAAUGGUGGAGGGAAGUGGAAGGACAGUAGUACUCCUAUUGCUGUACAUGAGAUUACAACCUGGCACUGAAAAGCCUUCCUUGCAUGGAAAGAGGCAGAGGAAUGCCUUAGGGAGGAGAAGGGUUAUGAUAAGGAAUUUGCUAUAGGCAAUUGAAUGCUGAGAGAUACAAAGGAAGACAGAUACUGUUGCGAAUUAUUUCCUGUACAGGUAACUCUCGAUUUACGCGAGUAUUGUGUCCUUGAAGAGGUCGCGUAAAUCAAAAACAAUGUUAAUCAAACAAGAGGUAGGUUUCUAUCAAAAAAUAAAUAUUCACUUCAUUCAGUGGAGAGAGAGAGAGAGAGAGAGAGAGAGAGAGAGAGAGAGAGAGAAUAUCCAUAUCACCCAGAUAUCCACUCAGGCACUCGGUCUCAGCCUCACUCGUGUGAGGAAGAAAUGAGGGACACCAUGAGCGACUGGCUAGUAUUGGUACCGGUACCGAGCAGUCUGAUACCGGUACCGUACCGUAUAGCUGGUACCAUUAGUACCGGUACUGGUACCAGUACCUGCCCACCCCUAUUGUUGAGUAGCGUGGCAGCAUGGGUACUGUAUUGUUGUUCAAGUAGCGUGCGGGAAGAACUGAGCUUAGCUGUGUGGCCGCAGCACCGUGUGAGUCCAGUUGCGUGAGACAUCUGGUGGCCACUCCAUAAAAUAUUGCAUAUAAGUGAAAAAAUGUGUAAAUUAAACAUUUAUUUGGAUUUUGCACCCCGCGUUAUUUAAAAAACGCGUAAACCAAACUUGCGUAAAUCUUGGCUUCCAGAAAUUUGGCGUUCCAAGGAAGCAUUGACUAUAUUGGCACAGUUGACACAUCAGAUAUGAAAAGAGAAGGGAAUUUCAUGGCACUAAUAUGAUUCAUUGCUGACUCUGAUCCAGUUCUCCAAAAACACUUGGAUAAAAACAAAGAUGGGGCUAAAGGAAGGGCUAUUUACUUAUCUCCAGUGAUACAAAAUGAAUGCAUUGCCUUGCUGGCUAAAGCCAUACGAGAAAAACUUGUGGCAGAUGUUAAGGAGAGCAAAUAUUAUGGUGUCAUGUGUGACUACUCCAGAUAUCUCACACCAGGAUCAACAUUCCUUAGUUGUACGCUAUGUAGUUCUGAAAGAAGGACAAUUUGCUGUGAAACAAACAUUUCUAGGGUGCAUGAAGCUUGAGGGGUAAAAUGCUGAAACCAUUGAGGAAGGAAUUCGUAGUGGCCUGGAGUCCUUUGGUUUAGACUUCAACAAUUGCAGGGCUGUUUGUUUUGAUAAUGCCAGUGUCAUGGUUGGGAAACACACAGGUGUUCAACGUCGACUAUGUGAAAAACUCAAAAAUUGUGUUUAUUAACUUUAACAAUCAUAGUCUCAACUUGGCAGAUGCAGUUAAAGCUGAUGUGGGUUCAAUGACCUUUUUCAAUGUGCUUAACGAAGUUUUCAAUUUCUUCAGCCGAAGCACAGGAAGGUGGGAUGCAAUGAAGAAAAUUACUGCUACAACUCUGAAGAGUAGCACUAACCCAAUGGAGCUCUAGGGCAGAUGCCACCCAUGCCCUUGAGACUGAAUUGGAUGGAGUGCUGGGGGCCCUAGAAAAUAUAUCUUCAUCAGAAAAUUUCACAGCUGAGUCACGGGCAGACAGUGAGGCACUUUUGAAAGGAAUUCUUAAUUUUAAAUUCUUGGCACUUCUUUCAUUCUGGACCCCAGUUUUGAGAAAGAUGGAUAUUGUUAAAAAACGCCUCCAGUGUCCUGAGAUGACUUUUUAGGAUGCUCAUGAAGCCCUUGAAGCAUUAACCACAUGGUUACAAGAGAACCGGGAUAUCAGUGCCCAUGAAGCAGUCACCAAAAGCAUAGAACUGUGCAACAAGUGGGAGGUAGAAAUCGAAAUUAAACGAGUGCGCCGAAAAAAAGUGUAUGCCUGGAGAAUUGGCCAGGGAUGAACCACUCACCCCUCAGCUUGACAUGAAGCGAAAACUUUUUGUAGCAGUUGAUCGACUUGUUGAAGAAGUGCAGUCAAGAAGUGCUCGACUUCGGGAGAUAGAUGGCCAUUUUGGAGUUCUGCGCCCUAAAGUUAUUUUGUAAGAAUGAACAAGAAAUUGACACAGUUUGCAAGGACGUGGCCCAAAAAUAAUAUGAAGACAUCAGCUUCAGAGCUCUGUCAAGAAGUGCAAGAUUUAAAGUUCCUAGUGAAGAAGAGAAUUCCAGAAACGGCUCCAGAACGCCUUGUCUUCAUUAAGAAAUAUGGUGAAGGAUUCGCUAACUUUCGUGUUGCACUGAGGCUUUGACUGACUGGGGAUAUCAGUUGCCUCUUGUGAAGGGUCUUUCAGCAAACUGAAGCUCAUCAAGACAUACCUGAGGAGUUCCAUGGGCCAAGAUAGACUGCCAGAUCUCCUGCAGUUCCCUCCUUCGCUCCUACCCCAGGUGGGAGGGCUUGCCCAUAAGGUCACUCAGCACGUCAGAGUUACUGAGGCGUGCGUCUGCUUCGUUGAGCGAGAAGUCCUCCAUUACUCUACUUUCAGUCUGUCCAGCUAGGCAUUCCCUCAUCGUCAGCCGUGGUUACCGCCACUUCUGCCACCUCACUUUCAUAUCUCUUAAGGAGAUUUAUAUGAACCAUCUUCAUCUCAUUUCUCCUGCCGGGGGUGGACAAAACAUAGUUAACUGCCCCAGACUUCCUGACGAUAUGAAAAAGGCCCCGAUACCUAGCCUGCAGAGGUAUUUUUACAGGAUUAAACAAUAAUACAUUGUCUCCUGGCUCAAAGGUUCUCUCUACUGCUCUCUAAUCAUAAGUUAUCUUCAUCUUUGCCUGGACUGUUUCUAGGUUUUCCGACACUUAUCGCCGGGCACACUCCUCAUUUCCUUUCCUCAUUUUGACUACGUACUCAGCAAGCUUCUCAGUCUCCCCUUCUUCCAUGCACACCUCGUACAAGAUCAUGAGGUUCUCCCUUGGCUUAAUGAUCCUACCGAACAUUAACUCGAACGGGGAGUAACCCAUGCAGUCUCUCCUGCUUCACGGAGCGAAUCACAUAGAGAGCGAUCUGAAUACCCUCAUCCCAGUUUCGAUCGUUCUCAAAGGCAUACCUAAUGAGGACGCUCUUAAGGGUCCUAUGGAACCUUUCGAGGCAUCCUCAACUCUGGGGAUGGUAAAGGGAUGAAGCAACAUGUUUAAUUCCCAUUUUAGACAUGGUCUGCUUGAAGAGCCCUCCCAUGAAGUUACUUCCCUGGUCAGUCUGAACCACCCUAGGGACCCCGAACUUACUGAAUACGUCCAUCAACCUGGGAAUCAGCUUACGAGACACAGUACUUGACACAGGUAUAGCAUCUGGGUAUCUGGUUGCCCUACACAUCAGUGUGAGAAGAAUCUCAUUUCCAGCUCUCGAUCGUCCGUGGCAAUGGGCCUACCACGUCAACUACUAUAUUUGAAAAGGGCUCCUCCACAACAGGAAUGGGAUGAAGAGGCACUGGUUUAGGAGAACUACUUCCUACCAAUUGCCACUUCCUACACCUUCUCCAAAAUGCUCUAAUAUCCCCCAACAUUCCCGGCCCCCCAAAAAUAGUUCACCACAGAAUCACCUGUUUUUCUGGGCCCAGAUUCACUUACGCCUUGCAGAUACAACAAUCUUAAGUGGAUCCAAUAUGGCGGAGAUAAGAAUGUCAUAUCUUGAGACUCACAAAAAAAUGUAAAGUCCGUCAUGUUUAGACUUUCCUGCCUUAACGCUGUUUCACACUCCCGCCGACAGACGGCAUAGUGUGUUGUUGACAUUUUUCGUUCAACCAAUGGCAGUGCUCGAUAUACAUACGUACUCUAGAGACAGUAGCCAAUCACAGGAACCACAACGCCUGUGCAGCACGUGGCCCAGUGACAGAGACAGGCACUGUCUGUGACAGAGGCAGGCGAUGUUGUCUGCCCCACCGUGAGUAUGGAAGUGAGGAAGUUCAAGUAAGCCAAUCACUUGUCAUGCGGAGACUGAGUGUCACCUGAAAGUAUAACGGGUGCUACAACACCUAGCAGCCCAUAUGUCCCAGCAGUGGUGCAGCGUCGGACCCUCAAAAUUCCAAGCAGGAGACACAAGAUGGACACAAGAUAAAAGAUUCCGAAGAAGCAAGACCAAGCACAUAUUACUGGAUAGUUUGCAGAAAUGUGUAGAUUUCCUUGAAUAGUUGCAAUCAGAAUGACUGCAAUGGCUGGAGCUUUUCAGGAUUUUGUUGAAUAAUACAGAGCAUUAAAUUAUGUAUUUCUUAUGCAUCGCUAAAGGUCUCUUUUGCUUUCUUCAAACAUGUUUUGUGUUUUUAAUUUAUUUAAUUGCUUUUUAUAGGAAAUAACAUAUUAAAAUGUUGAAUAGCAGGCUGUGAAGAAUUGCUCCAAAUAGUACACACACCACAGGUGCUAUAUGUUUUACAUGUUAUUAAGUGUAUAAUAAGCUCAGCCACAUUGUCCUGCAGUUAUUUUUUAAAGAGUCAGAUAAUUUUUUCCCUUAUCUUACAAUUUAAGUUGUGAUUGUGUUCAUGUACACCAGCAGUUCUUUCUUUAAUUAUAUUAGUAAAGAAGUUGUUAUUAUAUAUAUGAAGUCAGAUUAAGUGAUUUUCAAAAGCAUUAUAAUUAAGUUCAUUUAGCCUGUGUCACUCAAAUUUAUACGCCUCCGUGGUCUAAUGGUUAGCGUGCCUGGCUUCUACUCCGCAGGCCCGGGCAGUCAGCGUGCAGCUCUCCCAGCUGUUCAUCCUCCCUCUUGGGCUGGUCGAUAAAUGGGUACCUGGGGAAACCUGGGGAAGGUAAACUGUGGUAACCCGGAUGUCACACUGGCCCUGUGUCCUGGGGUAUGGGCUCCCUCCCACCACAGGCUCAAGGGCCAAUGUUACGGAGAUGAGUGUAUGCCCCCAACUUUACUAUGUUUACUCUCAAAGUAUAUAAUUGUGUGUUUGCGAGUGUGUGUGUCACAUCCUGGAAAGCCCAAAACUUCUCUCAAAACUGAUGACUCGAGAAAGAGCUUGGCUUCCAGCUAUUUCUUUAGAGCCAGCAGUCAUGGUGGAAAUUUUCUAGGUAGAGCGGAAUGUGUUUUGACAGUGGGCAGUGCCAUUGUCUCUGAAGAACCCCAACGAGUUCUUAACGAAACACACCCAUACACCAAUUGGCUUGAUGAUUUCCUGUAUUUUUUUGCCAGUACACUAUUUAACACAUUUAAAUAUUUAAUAAUGUAUUUAUUAAUGCCCACUUUCUCAUUAUGUUCUCAACUUGUGCCAGCAACAUAUGAGUCAGUACUUAAGUAAGGUUAGGUUACAUAAAUGAAAAAAGUGCAUAUUUGAGUUAAAAACAGAAACAUUAUUUACUUGUCAGUACCAAAAAAUAACUUGAAUUUCAAGGUGAGAAAGAUUUUUUUAUAGUUUAUGGACAAAGAACCUUUAUUUUCUAGUUUUAAUGUUAUGCUAUGAGUAGAAAAUGAAGUAAUUAGGUAUUUUUCACUUAACCUUUUUGCAUGAAAUAAGUAUCAAUAUAUAUAAAUAUUUUACCUCAACCUAAAAUCAUAAAAUACUUUCUCAAUUAUAGUAGCUAUGAAACUAUGAGUGGGAAUAGAACUGGAUGAUGAAUCAAACCUUGACAGGUGUUACUAGGUUGCAAUUUACAAGCAAUAGGUUACCAUGUGAUGGAGAUGAGCACCAAGGCCACACACAGCUAUGUGUAUGCCCCCAUCUUCACCCUACCUUUACUAGACACAUCAUCUAUAACACCCCUAAAUUACCAAAAUAUUCAACAAACAUAUUGCAUGUUGCAAAAAUGGGUAAUUGCUUAGCAGGAGCAGUCUAUAUGAGAUGCACAUUACUAAUUUCUUGUGGUACGUUAUGAUGCUUUUUAAUGGGGAUCUGUUUAAUACUAUGAUUCAGCUAUGAAAGUGCUGGUAUUAUUCUAGUGUUUGCCCAUACUCACCCCUCGCAACCAAAAUUGGCUAGGGGGCCAUUGAGACUUCGGGGAAUGCGGUGGUAAACAUGAAAUGCGUCGCAAAUGCAUAGUUUUUGAGUUAUGAGGGGUUGAAAAAUACCCUUAAUGUAGGGAAAUUCCUUACAAUUACUUAAAUGUAGGGAAAUUUCAUACAUUCCGUUUUUUUUUUUUUUUACAACGUACGGAAACCACGCAAGGUAAUUAUUGAAAAUCACUCCGCACCUUGAAAAUACGAUAUUACGCCUCCAUAUUGUACUUAAGGGCAUAUUAUACAUACGGACGAUGUGUUUGCAUGGCAACGCCAUUGCAAUAUGAGCAGCGUUGCCAAUGAUCCGGUUAGAUAUGAUACGCUAGGUGAGACCAGGUCCACCACGCGUGGUUAUUUAUUUAUUUUUUUUUUUUUUUGGAACACGCACCUUUACCUAAUACUAUUUCUGAUGGUACGCUAGGUUAGCGAUGGUACGCUUUGUUAGCCAUUAGCCCACGCAUGUGAGACCAGGUCCACCACGCGUGAUUAUUUUUUUUUAGAACACGCACCUUUACCUAAUACUAUUACCGAUGGUACGCUUUUUUUUUUUUUACGUUGUUGCCUAUUGCGCCGGUAGGCAUCUUCCCGGUGGGGCCUGAUGGUCGGCCCAAGGCUUCUUCCCGGUGGGGCCUGAUGGUCGGCCCAGCCCGUUCUGGCGCAGGCGAGUGUUUAUAGUGGCGCCAUCUUGCUUGGUUAGCGAUGGUAUGCUUAGUUAGUCAUUAGCCCACGCAUGUGAGACCAGGUCCACCACGCGUGGUUAUUUAUUUUUUUUAGAAUACGCACCUUUACCUAAUUACCGAUGGUACGCUUGGUUAGUGAUGGUACGCUUAGUUAGCCAUUAGCCCACGCAUGCGAGACCAGGUCGUAAAGUUCAGUUGGAGUAGUUUAAAUAUGCUCCCCCACCCAAAUACCCCGAGUUCACGCAGGUCCCCCAAGAUCGUUGGGGGAAGGGGAUUAAUUCGGCUUCCUUACUUUUAAGUUUUUUUUUUUUUUUUUUUUUUUUUUUUACUAUGAUAUAUGGAGGCGUAUUAUCGUAUUCUGGAGGCGCGGAGUCAAUAUCCACAAUCACCUUGUAUACUGGGAAUACGAGCCCGUGAAGCAGAUUCAAAAUCCGGUCAGUAAGGAUUCACGUGUUCGAACAGCUCGGGCAAGAGGUUCGAGAGCCUGCACUUCCUGCACAAGCCGCAGUAGUGUUAAAGGCGCGGUGUUGGAUGGAUCCCGGCUAGCCGGUGGUUUUACUUGUGUCAGUGAUAAACGAUGAAGAUACACUGUGUUUGGUGCCACGGACUCUACUUGGAGGACAGAAACCUACUAGUGAGAGGGCAUAUGAGUGGUGGAGGCGUUUAUGUGAGCACAGAAGGCCGCUGGUGCCACGCCAGAUGGUGAGGUGAGCAUCGUUUGGUGGGUUCACGACACUUCUCUCCCAAAACAAGCUUGGGGAUCCACUGAGUGCGUGGUUUUCGUAUGGGAAACACUAAAUUCGUCGCAAACGCUUAUUUUAGUGGUGGUGGGAGGAAAAAUUACCUAAAUUUAGGGAAUUUCCCUAGAUCUAGGGAGUUCCCCCCCCCCCCCACACACUAAAAAAAAUACACGAAUGCGACGGAUUUCGUGUCCCCCACCCGAAACCCCGCAUUCCCACCAGGUCCCCAGGCUUGUAUGGGGGGGAGGGGGGAGUAUGGGCAAACACUAGAAUGUUACCUAACUGACUCCUGAAAAAGACAUGAUAGUUUACCCAAUAAUGGAUAGUCUGUGUCUCUAAAAUAGGUCGGUAAAAUCUGCUAAACAAUAGCAGGGGGACAGCCAGAAAUGUAUUCAGGGAGAUUGGAGUCAUCAAAACUGAUGACUCGAGAAAGAGCUUGGCUUCCAGCUAUUUCUUUAGAGCCAGCAGUCAUGGUGGAAAUUUUCUAGGUAGAGCGGAAUGUGUUUUGACAGUGGGCAGUGCCAUUGUCUCUGAAGAACCCCAACGAGUUCUUAACGAAACACACCCAUACACCAAUUGGCUUGAUGAUUUCCUGUAUUUUUUUGCCAGUACACUAUUUAACACAUUUAAAUAUUUAAUAAUGUAUUUAUUAAUGCCCACUUUCUCAUUAUGUUCUCAACUUGUGCCAGCAACAUAUGAGUCAGUACUUAAGUAAGGUUAGGUUACAUAAAUGAAAAAAGUGCAUAUUUGAGUUAAAAACAGAAACAUUAUUUACUUGUCAGUACCAAAAAAUAACUUGAAUUUCAAGGUGAGAAAGAUUUUUUUAUAGUUUAUGGACAAAGAACCUUUAUUUUCUAGUUUUAAUGUUAUGCUAUGAGUAGAAAAUGAAGUAAU